GAAUUUUGAAAGGCAAGGGCUUGAUGCUGGCGCGGAGACGCGGAUGUGCGCGGCCCUUGUCCUCAAUCCAUUCAACCCCUGUGCACCUCAUGGGAGUUAUUAGCCGGCAGGAAUGUAAUGCUAGUAGUCGAGGGGCGAAAGCUUACGGAUCGUCGGUGAACACUUCAACUAUUAUCAACCUUUGUUGUCAUGUAGAAUGUAAUGCUCCUUGUGGGCGAAAUGAAAUACAACUUUCAACAACGGAUCUCUUGGCUCC
RNAcentral lists this unclassified non-coding RNA (256 nucleotides) under rhizosphere metagenome. Its description in RNAcentral is "partial ribosomal RNA internal transcribed spacer region". The record is from RNAcentral.